Molecule: long non-coding RNA, 875 nt
Organism: Zophobas morio
Lineage: Eukaryota; Metazoa; Arthropoda; Insecta; Coleoptera; Tenebrionidae
Exons: 3
Source: RefSeq, a predicted model, not a curated record
CAUUAUAUUUGGUAACCUAUAAAUCAGGACUGUUUCACUUCUUGCGUUAAAAAAUAUUUCAAGUAUUGGUGCACAAAACUGUUGUCUCAGCCCUUGGGCCAUCAGUGUGAUCACGGACAGUUUGCCACGCCUAGCUUAUCUGAAGGAUAUUCACUCAGUGUACAACACUAACACCAUUAUUUUAGGGCUUGCUUAAUCCUCACCACUCUGAGUACGAAUUGCACUUAUGUCGAAGGACACAAUUCCUUCUACGACGAGCGGAUGACGCAGAGAGACACAAUUAUACACCACCCGUUGCGAGUGGACUGCCCGAGCGGCACAUUACCCUCGCCCCACGAAGCUGUAGCAACUGUGUCGUCAACAACUUUAUAUAUAACGUGCAAAGACGAUGAAGACGAAUGAUGAACACACGAAAUACAAAAUUCCGCUUGCAUUCCUUCAAAGUACUUAAAGAUAGCUCUUAUCACGCUUUUAAUAAUGAUGAAAACAACUACUUUCGUUUUUAUUUCAUACUUUUUAGCUGGAGUGUGUGAAUCUGUGCUUUCGUGUUAUCUACCAAACAAAUGAUUUCAAGUACUCAAAUUUUCUUGCUUGUCAUGGUGGCAUUUUUAAAAAAUAUUUCGAAUAGUAAUGCAGAAAGUUGCUGUGUUACCGGUACGGACAUUUAUGAUAUCAGGGAGAGUUUGCGUGAUCUCAGAUCUAUAAGUUACGAAUUAAGUGUUAUUCGUUCCAUAAAAUCCAAUGAAUUUUAUAAAAUGGACAACAUAUACGUUCCACUUUUAGGGGCCUGUUGCGGUUUUCUUGCAGCCGUAUUGUUAGCUUUGUUGUAUAUAAUAUGGAAAAUUAAUAAAAACAGAAAUUAGCUAAGUGUAUAA